ACAAACUACCAAAAACACAUAGAAAUAGUAAAUAAAAUCACCAUAAUGGUAGACACUAAGGCGGCGACAAAAACCCUGUCCAAACAGAUGAGGUAGACCCUCAGCAAAAUUCGGCGAGCCUCAAUCGGUGACUGGUCGACAACAAAGCACGAAGAAGCCGAGGGGAAGUUAUAAAAGAAUCGGCUCAUAAAGCCUGGAGAAAGGAAGCCACAGCUGUUCCUUUUUUU
RNAcentral lists this long non-coding RNA (227 nucleotides) under Gossypium raimondii (Peruvian cotton). Its description in RNAcentral is "long non-coding RNA (GRAI_LNC005799)". Lineage: Eukaryota; Viridiplantae; Streptophyta; Magnoliopsida; Malvales; Malvaceae. The record is from RNAcentral.